AUGCAAGUCGAGCGAACAGAURAGGAGCUUGCUCCUYUGACGUUAGCGGCGGACGGGUGAGUAACACGUGGRUAACCUACCUAUAAGACUGGGAUAACUYCGGGAAACCGGRGCUAAUACCGGAUAAYAUWUUGAACCGCAUGGUUCAAWAGUGAAAGRYGGYUUUGCUGUCACUUAUAGAUGGAUCCGCGCCGUAUUAGCUAGUUGGUAAGGUAACGGCUUACCAAGGCAACGAUACGUAGCCGACCUGAGAGGGUGAUCGGCCACACUGGAACUGAGACA
This 282-nucleotide ribosomal RNA is filed under the name Staphylococcus pasteuri. RNAcentral describes it as "partial 16S ribosomal RNA". It matches the Rfam family "Bacterial small subunit ribosomal RNA", at positions 55 to 326 of the family's 1533-position model. Lineage: Bacteria; Bacillati; Bacillota; Bacilli; Caryophanales; Staphylococcaceae. The record is from RNAcentral.